CCAGACUCCUACGGGAGGCAGCAGUGAGGAAUAUUGGUCAAUGGGCGAGAGCCUGAACCAGCCAAGUCGCGUGAGGGAAGACGGUCCUAUGGAUUGUAAACCUCUUUUGCCGGGGAGCAAAAAGCGGUACGUGUACCGCAUCGAGAGUACCCGGAGAAAAAGCAUCGGCUAACUCCGUGCCAGCAGCCGCGGUAAUACGGAGGAUGCGAGCGUUAUCCGGAUUUAUUGGGUUUAAAGGGUGCGUAGGCGGACUGGAAAGUCAGCGGUAAAAUCGAGAGGCUCAACCUCUUUCCGCCGUUGAAACUGUCGGUCUUGAGUGGGCGAGAAGUAUGCGGAAUGCGUGGUGUAGCGGUGAAAUGCAUAGAUAUCACGCAGAACUCCGAUUGCGAAGGCAGCAUACCGGCGCCCGACUGACGCUGAGGCACGAAAGCGUGGGUAUCGAACAGGAUUAGAUACCCGUGUA
RNAcentral lists this ribosomal RNA (463 nucleotides) under uncultured bacterium. RNAcentral describes it as "bacterial SSU rRNA". It matches the Rfam family "Bacterial small subunit ribosomal RNA", at positions 331 to 792 of the family's 1533-position model. The record is from RNAcentral.